RNAcentral lists this ribosomal RNA (303 nucleotides) under uncultured bacterium. RNAcentral's name for it is "partial 16S ribosomal RNA". It matches the Rfam family "Bacterial small subunit ribosomal RNA", at positions 507 to 807 of the family's 1533-position model. The record is from RNAcentral.
AGCAGUAGCCGCGGUAAUACGGAGGGUGCAAGCGUUAAUCGGAAUUACUGGGCGUAAAGCGCACGCAGGCGGUUUGUUAAGUCAGAUGUGAAAUCCCCGAGCUUAACUUGGGAACUGCAUUUGAAACUGGCAAGCUAGAGUCUUGUAGAGGGGGGUAGAAUUCCAGGUGUAGCGGUGAAAUGCGUAGAGAUCUGGAGGAAUACCGGUGGCGAAGGCGGCCCCCUGGACAAAGACUGACGCUCAGGUGCGAAAGCGUGGGGAACAAACAGGAUUAGAUACCCCAGUAGUCCCUGUCUCUUAUAC